UACGGAGGGGACUAGCGUUGUUCGGAAUUACUGGGCGUAAAGCGCACGUAGGCGGAUUUGUAAGUCAGGGGUGAAAUCCCGGGGCUCAACCUCGGAACUGCCUUUGAUACUGCAAAUCUCGAGUCCGGAAGAGGUGAGUGGAAUUCCUAGUGUAGAGGUGAAAUUCGUAGAUAUUCGCAAGAACACCAGUGGCGAAGGCGGCUCACUGGCCCAUAACUGACGCUGAGGCACGAAAGCGUGGGGAGCAAACAGG
RNAcentral lists this ribosomal RNA (253 nucleotides) under uncultured bacterium. RNAcentral describes it as "partial 16S ribosomal RNA". It matches the Rfam family "Bacterial small subunit ribosomal RNA", at positions 524 to 776 of the family's 1533-position model. The record is from RNAcentral.